AGCGUACACGGUGGAUGCCCUGGCAGUCAGAGGCGAUGAAGGACGUGCUAAUCUGCGAUAAGCGUCGGUAAGGUGAUAUGAACCGUUAUAACCGGCGAUUUCCGAAUGGGGAAACCCAGUGUGUUUCGACACACUAUCAUUAACUGAAUCCAUAGGUUAAUGAGGCGAACCGGGGGAACUGAAACAUCUAAGUACCCCGAGGAAAAGAAAUCAACCGAGAUUCCCCCAGUAGCGGCGAGCGAACGGGGAGCAGCCCAGAGCCUGAAUCAGUGUGUGUGUUAGUGGAAGCGUCUGGAAAGGCGCGCGAUACAGGGUGACAGCCCCGUACACAAAAAUGCACAUGCUGUGAGCUCGAUGAGUAGGGCGGGACACGUGGUAUCCUGUCUGAAUAUGGGGGGACCAUCCUCCAAGGCUAAAUACUCCUGACUGACCGAUAGUGAACCAGUACCGUGAGGGAAAGGCGAAAAGAACCCCGGCGAGGGGAGUGAAAAAGAACCUGAAACCGUGUACGUACAAGCAGUGGGAGCACGCUUAGGCGUGUGACUGCGUACCUUUUGUAUAAUGGGUCAGCGACUUAUAUUCUGUAGCAAGGUUAACCGAAUAGGGGAGCCGAAGGGAAACCGAGUCUUAACUGGGCGUUAAGUUGCAGGGUAUAGACCCGAAACCCGGUGAUCUAGCCAUGGGCAGGUUGAAGGUUGGGUAACACUAACUGGAGGACCGAACCGACUAAUGUUGAAAAAUUAGCGGAUGACUUGUGGCUGGGGGUGAAAGGCCAAUCAAACCGGGAGAUAGCUGGUUCUCCCCGAAAGCUAUUUAGGUAGCGCCUCGUGAAUUCAUCUCCGGGGGUAGAGCACUGUUUCGGCAAGGGGGUCAUCCCGACUUACCAACCCGAUGCAAACUGCGAAUACCGGAGAAUGUUAUCACGGGAGACACACGGCGGGUGCUAACGUCCGUCGUGAAGAGGGAAACAACCCAGACCGCCAGCUAAGGUCCCAAAGUCAUGGUUAAGUGGGAAACGAUGUGGGAAGGCCCAGACAGCCAGGAUGUUGGCUUAGAAGCAGCCAUCAUUUAAAGAAAGCGUAAUAGCUCACUGGUCGAGUCGGCCUGCGCGGAAGAUGUAACGGGGCUAAACCAUGCACCGAAGCUGCGGCAGCGACGCUGAUGCGUUGUUGGGUAGGGGAGCGUUCUGUAAGCCUGCGAAGGUGUGCUGUGAGGCAUGCUGGAGGUAUCAGAAGUGCGAAUGCUGACAUAAGUAACGAUAAAGCGGGUGAAAAGCCCGCUCGCCGGAAGACCAAGGGUUCCUGUCCAACGUUAAUCGGGGCAGGGUGAGUCGACCCCUAAGGCGAGGCCGAAAGGCGUAGUCGAUGGGAAACAGGUUAAUAUUCCUGUACUUGGUGUUACUGCGAAGGGGGGACGGAGAAGGCUAUGUUGGCCGGGCGACGGUUGUCCCGGUUUAAGCGUGUAGGCUGGUUUUCCAGGCAAAUCCGGAAAAUCAAGGCUGAGGCGUGAUGACGAGGCACUACGGUGCUGAAGCAACAAAUGCCCUGCUUCCAGGAAAAGCCUCUAAGCAUCAGGUAACAUCAAAUCGUACCCCAAACCGACACAGGUGGUCAGGUAGAGAAUACCAAGGCGCUUGAGAGAACUCGGGUGAAGGAACUAGGCAAAAUGGUGCCGUAACUUCGGGAGAAGGCACGCUGAUAUGUAGGUGAAGUCCCUCGCGGAUGGAGCUGAAAUCAGUCGAAGAUACCAGCUGGCUGCAACUGUUUAUUAAAAACACAGCACUGUGCAAACACGAAAGUGGACGUAUACGGUGUGACGCCUGCCCGGUGCCGGAAGGUUAAUUGAUGGGGUUAGCGCAAGCGAAGCUCUUGAUCGAAGCCCCGGUAAACGGCGGCCGUAACUAUAACGGUCCUAAGGUAGCGAAAUUCCUUGUCGGGUAAGUUCCGACCUGCACGAAUGGCGUAAUGAUGGCCAGGCUGUCUCCACCCGAGACUCAGUGAAAUUGAACUCGCUGUGAAGAUGCAGUGUACCCGCGGCAAGACGGAAAGACCCCGUGAACCUUUACUAUAGCUUGACACUGAACAUUGAGCCUUGAUGUGUAGGAUAGGUGGGAGGCUUUGAAGUGUGGACGCCAGUCUGCAUGGAGCCGACCUUGAAAUACCACCCUUUAAUGUUUGAUGUUCUAACGUUGACCCGUAAUCCGGGUUGCGGACAGUGUCUGGUGGGUAGUUUGACUGGGGCGGUCUCCUCCUAAAGAGUAACGGAGGAGCACGAAGGUUGGCUAAUCCUGGUCGGACAUCAGGAGGUUAGUGCAAUGGCAUAAGCCAGCUUGACUGCGAGCGUGACGGCGCGAGCAGGUGCGAAAGCAGGUCAUAGUGAUCCGGUGGUUCUGAAUGGAAGGGCCAUCGCUCAACGGAUAAAAGGUACUCCGGGGAUAACAGGCUGAUACCGCCCAAGAGUUCAUAUCGACGGCGGUGUUUGGCACCUCGAUGUCGGCUCAUCACAUCCUGGGGCUGAAGUAGGUCCCAAGGGUAUGGCUGUUCGCCAUUUAAAGUGGUACGCGAGCUGGGUUUAGAACGUCGUGAGACAGUUCGGUCCCUAUCUGCCGUGGGCGCUGGAGAACUGAGGGGGGCUGCUCCUAGUACGAGAGGACCGGAGUGGACGCAUCACUGGUGUUCGGGUUGUCAUGCCAAUGGCACUGCCCGGUAGCUAAAUGCGGAAGAGAUAAGUGCUGAAAGCAUCUAAGCACGAAACUUGCCCCGAGAUGAGUUCUCCCUGACUCCUUGA
This 2787-nucleotide ribosomal RNA is filed under the name Escherichia coli. Its description in RNAcentral is "bacterial LSU rRNA". It matches the Rfam family "Bacterial large subunit ribosomal RNA". The record is from RNAcentral. Lineage: Bacteria; Pseudomonadati; Pseudomonadota; Gammaproteobacteria; Enterobacterales; Enterobacteriaceae.